Molecule: non-coding RNA, 2812 nt
Organism: Arachis ipaensis
Lineage: Eukaryota; Viridiplantae; Streptophyta; Magnoliopsida; Fabales; Fabaceae
Source: RefSeq, a predicted model, not a curated record
CCCCCACUUCUCCAACUCCUGCUUGCAGCAAAUGCCCUAGCCUCCACCAAAGAAAGCAAACCCUAGCAGCCUCCACCAAUCGUCGUCGCCGUCUGUCGGAAUGGGAGAUUGUUGCCGCCGUCCGUCGCACUCAAGAACUACCGUCUUCGUGUUCUCGGGCCUCUCGCUGGAUCCUCCGCGUCGUGUGCUUGCAUCUCGCCUCUCUCCUCUGUGCUCGGCUGCUUGCGCCUCCCUCCGCCAGUGAGUGCUCGAGCUGUGCGCGUUGGUUGCUGCUCGUCGUCCGUGGUUGUCUCUGCUCGAUUCUGCCUCCAAGUGUCACUGGAGUCUCGUCUCAGUCACUGGCAUCUCGUGGUUCGCCUGUCUCGUCGCCGGCGGCAGAAGCAACUCGUGGGGUUGUCUCUUGCUUCGUCGCCUUCCGUGGGGUGGUCGCUCACUCGCCGUCGGACGUUGAUUCAGUGUUGGCUUCAAAUUUCAAAUGGGAAUUAGGAGCUGGUGAAGAUAACAACAUCUUUCUGGAACUGAUACAGACAAAAGUUGUCUCCGCUGCUUCUUGCACCUCCAGCACGCUAUUCUCUGCCUUGCGCUACUUGAAGAAGAGGAAGGUUUUUCCCCACUGUUUAAUUUAAUAAAUUAGUUUCAACAAAUGUUUUGAGGAUACAGUAGUUAGUUGACUAAAAUAGAAAGAGAAAUAACGUUGGUGAUUUUGGGAAUUUGCUUAUUUAUUUGUGGGUUUGAGAAUACUAGUAAUCUGGUAUGAAUGGCUUUUCAUGUUUACAUUGAUAAUAUAAAGAAGAAAUCAAAAUGAUUUAGCCUGAUUCAUUUAGUUCUUAAGCAUAGUGUACUCCAUAACUCCGGAACGAACAAAUUUUUGUAGAACUUGCUAGGACCAUGGAAGGAUUUGCUGCAGACUUUGGACUUUAUGGCAAUUCAACAUCUGGUUUUGCUUCAUCGCGAUGGGAUUGGUCGUUUCUCUCCAACGCACACGUCAACAACAGUGCUCCUUUCACUCGAUUGGAUCCAAAAGAUAAAAGUAAGACCAUGGGAUUGGAAGCUGAGUCAAAAGCAGUAUCUCAAGAUUGUGGGAAAGGUUGCAACAAUUGCAUGCCCAUGCAAAUCGAGAUACAAGGACUAAAGGAAGAAAUAAGCGACAAAGUCAAAAGAUGGAUGAGAUGGCUGUACUACUAAGACAACUUGUGUUGAAGGCUGAUGCAGACCCAUCUGUUGAUGUCAAGACUGUUGCAUCAACAACCAAGUCAAGAAGACGAUCCACUUCAAAACAAAAAGGCAUGCGUAAGGAUACACCUAUUGAUGUACCAGAUUACAGCUCGGACCAUUUGGCUUUUCGUCACUCAAGGCGUAAAAGGAAGACCUCAUCAACUGGGACACCUAAACAAAUUAUCUCUGGGAAAAAUGAUAAGUUGACGAGGACUUUGUUCUCGGACAAAGAUGAGGCCAAAGACCAAAAAGAAAGGACACCACAAACUAACAAAAUUGGUCCAUCAAGACCUGCAACACAUAUUGGUGAAAGACCUUAUGUCGAUCUAACUGUGCAGGGAUUUGACCCAAACCAAGCAGAAGUAGGUGACAAAAUUCCAAAGAGCAUUAUUUCAAAUUUAGUGGCGCAAAGGAUGGGAAUGAUAAGGUAAAUAACAAUGCCGAAGUUGUUGAAGUUGGUGGUAAUAAUAAGAAGCGUGCUAAUGAUAGUGGCAAGGAUGUUGAAGUUGGUGAUGAUGUCAAGGAGGCAUUUGAAGAUGGUGCAUUGGUUGCUGUUUCUAAUGCUAGUACUAAGAGGUGCCCAACAAGUCUGAAGGAGCUUCUAGCCAUGAGGAUUCUUGAGGGUUUGGCAGUGAAUUAUGCUCAGAGUGUGAAGGCAUUGACUGAUUUUCCUUCUUAUUGUGCUGGAGAAGCAGAGCUUUGGGAAGUGAUUAAUGGCUAUGGGAUUGUGUGCCAUUGUGAAGAUUGCCAUGGUGUUGAGGUAAGUAAAAUGAAGAUGCAUUUAGACGAGUUAAUUUCCACUUAAAAACCACCAGCCUCAACUCCAAAUCACUUCCCUGAUUUAACAUGUUAGUUGGAAGGUAGUUAUACCUGAGCUACUAUAUAAGGCUUUAGUUGAAAUAGAUUGUUUUAUUUUUUUACUGUGAUGCCAAUUUUCUUUUUCAGGUAGUCAUCAUUGUUGUUGUGAUGAUAAUCAUAACAAUUCUUUUUAAUGGUUAUUACAAAUAGUCAAUCAGUUGAUUUUAUUUCAUGUGACGGACUGUUUAUGAUUAGCCAUAUACAUGGUUUUAUGAUUGGUUCUGGUUUCUGAUGCUCAAUUAUUAAGGUGGGGAGAAAGAAAAUUACCUUUGGCAUUCUAAGUACGUCUUUGAUUCCCCACUUUGGCUGAAAGCCAAUCCCCAAAACUCUGAUGCUCACUUCCUCAGCAACAAUGAACUAAUACAGAGCAGAUUUAAAUGCACAGCAGAGGGAGAAGGAGAAGAGAGUAGACGCACUGCCUAGUGCUUACCUGCAACUGAUGCCGCCACAACAGCAACGUACAGGAGAGAAGACAGCCACAGUGUCACCAAGCCACCCACACAGGUUACUUUGGUGAUAGCGAGAGGGGAAGGAUAGUCUAGAGACGGAGAGAGUGAGAGAUAGCACCUAGGUUCUCCCUUCCCUGUAUAACUCCAAAAAAAAAAUAUAUGGCUUAGUACCCAACACACAAAUGUACAAUACUAAAGUAUAAUAAUAAAUUGUUUGACAAUAAAGAAAUACAAAUUUUGACCGACCCCACCUGAAUGUGGAAGAAUCAUUCAAUGCAAUUCAUACUUCA